This 497-nucleotide ribosomal RNA is filed under the name uncultured bacterium. RNAcentral's name for it is "partial 16S ribosomal RNA". It matches the Rfam family "Bacterial small subunit ribosomal RNA", at positions 28 to 507 of the family's 1533-position model. The record is from RNAcentral.
GAUGAACGCUGGCGGCGUGCCUAAUACAUGCAAGUCGAGCGAACGGACGAGAAGCUUGCUUCUCUGAUGUUAGCGGCGGACGGGUGAGUAACACGUGGAUAACCUACCUAUAAGACUGGGAUAACUUCGGGAAACCGGAGCUAAUACCGGAUAAUAUUUUGAACCGCAUGGUUCAAAAGUGAAAGACGGUCUUGCUGUCACUUAUAGAUGGAUCCGCGCUGCAUUAGCUAGUUGGUAAGGUAACGGCUUACCAAGGCAACGAUGCAUAGCCGACCUGAGAGGGUGAUCGGCCACCCUGGAACUGAGACACGGUCCAGACUCCUACGGGAGGCAGCAGUAGGGAAUCUUCCGCGAUGGGCGAAAGCCUGACGGAGCAACGCCGCGUGAGUGAUGAAGGUCUUCGGAUCGUAAAACUCUGUUAUUAGGGAAGAACAUAUGUGUAAGUAACUGUGCACAUCUUGACGGUACCUAAUCAGAAAGCCACGGCUAACUACGUG